Siniperca chuatsi (mandarin fish) is the source of this 1067-nucleotide long non-coding RNA. RefSeq lists it as uncharacterized. The record is from RefSeq and is a predicted model, not a curated record. The transcript is spliced from 2 exons. NCBI's taxonomy places the organism in Eukaryota, Metazoa, Chordata, Actinopteri, Centrarchiformes, Sinipercidae.
GUCGGGCUUCGACGCGGAGCAAAGAACAGGCGACAGUGUGCUUUUUUUUUUUUUUUUUCUCCCUUUCUUCGUGUGAAUGUGUGUGUGUUAGAGUAGAAGGGGGGAGAAACUUGGAGCGCGUCCACGCCGGCCGCAAUCAUAAUCUUCAACUUUUGUUUCCCUCCAACUUGUGGACCGGAGGACUCAGCCAAGGACUCAAAUGCCAAAUUGAGGUUUUUUGGUAAGUUUACCUUAUUCUCUCUUAAAGUAUUGUAAUCAUGUCCAUCACGAAAUGUAGUAAUUUUCUUCUUCUUCUUAUCGAACAACAAAGAGGAGGCGGGCAGAAGCGGGGUGGAGCUGCUUUGCCUCCCGUUAUUCUCGGGUCGAAAGUGGAUCCAGUCCUGGGUGAAUUAUUGUCAUGCGUAAUUUACUGCCACGGUGCUUGCAUGUAAACGAAGCAGUCCAGCACCCUCUCUCUCCCUGUCUCUCACUCUCACACACACUCUCUCUCUCCUCUCUCUCUCUCUCUCUCACACACACACACACACACACACACACGCACGCGCACACACACCUGAACCGUAGCUCCAGCUCUGUGUCCCAUUCAUCCAAGCGAGCCUGAAGUGGCACCUCUCGCCUUUUUUACGCACACAGGCUCUGCUACGUGGGGCCGCAUAUUCACCGUGAAAACGGAUUACAGUCGGUGUGUGAUCUAUAGGGGGACCUUGUGCUUAAUGAAUAUAUUGAUUUAAAUGAGGGGAGGGGGUACCAAAAACAACAUAUGCAUGAAUUCAUAAUUUGUACUCGAUUUUUUGAUUGUUAAUUUAAGAUUAAAAGUGCAAAAUGUUGAUGCACAGUUGUCAGUGUGAUAAAAUUAAUUCUGAGAAAAAAAUGAUUGUUUAUAAUGUUUUGGGGAAAUUGUUAUUUAUGAGAUGAACUGUCAACUAAAGCAGGCUGACAGAUUUGUAAUUAUUUCCAAAUCAUUUCUAAUGCAUUUUGGUUAUUUUUAAAUGCAUUGCUCGAUGUUGAUCUCUCCUCUGUGUUUGUAUUUUUUUCUCUAAAUAAAAAUGUGAAGCUUUCGCAGCACA